Molecule: long non-coding RNA, 2924 nt
Filed under: Homo sapiens (human)
Lineage: Eukaryota; Metazoa; Chordata; Mammalia; Primates; Hominidae
Description: HSALNT0095494
Source: RNAcentral
GUCCGGUUUUCACACUUUUAUUGUAAAGCUCGGGAAUAAUUACACGGGUCUUUCAUUGACAGCUCAGCAAACAAACCGGAAACGAACCGAACCGGAGGGGGUAGGGGCGGUGCCUGCGCAUGCUCGCGGCGGGAGAGACACGGCCCCCCUCCCCACUAGAUAACCCGAGGAGACACAGUCUCCCCUCCCCAUGGGCAGACACACCCGCCCGAAACCCCAUGGGCGGGACACAGUCCCCCCUCCCAGAGAAGUCCCCAGUGGAGACGCCCCUUAAGAGACUUUCUCAUGGCCAACACAAGCCCUCCCAACACCCGGAGACAGCCCCGACCCAGGGAAGAAAUGGCUCCAGAGGCCCUACCCUCGGGAGAGAGAGGUAUCCCAGGGCUCCUAGGAGAAAAGACAACUCAGAGAUGCCCAGCCUCAUCCUAAAGUGCUGCAGGGCAGAGAAACCCCCAUAGGAGAGAUGGGGGUAGGGCCAGAAACAUCCCUUCCCAGACGUGUUUCAGAGAUAGCCCCCUUCCCUGGGAAGAGAGAUGGCCCGAAACUGACUUGCCUUAAGUACUCCCAGGAACCCUGGGAGGAAAACAGGCUCCCCAGAGAGCCUGGGUAAUUGGGGGAGACAUGCUCCCGUGGUCCUCAGCGGGAACACAUGUCCCCCGGAGACUCCCAAGGGGAGAGAUAGGGCCUAGAGAGACCCCAGAGGUGAGGGAUGCCCAGAGAACUUCCCCCCACCCCGGAAUGUGAAACAUGCUUCAAGGACCCUAGGAGAGAAAUAUGUCCCCAUAUACCCUCCCCCUACGGAGAGACAUGCCCUGAAGUAGGGGGAUGGGGACCGACUAGGUCCCCUCUGGGAAGACACAGACUGGGUCAGGCUGGGUUUGAGGGGGGCUCUCCUCUGGCCAAAUGUCGCCUAUUGGUACAUAAAACUGUACGCGACACAGGCAUUGGGGAGGGGCUUCACAGACCUAGGACCCACAGGGAUAGUCCCCAGUGCUGUCGCCAACCCCUGCCCACCUUUGGUUUCAUCUCUCCAGUGCCCAGUUGGUGACAGACUCAGUGCCCUGGCCCCAACCAGGGGGCUGGGGGCUCUGUCUUUGCCUGUGGGAAGGGCUUCUCAGCUCUCCCAGCCAUCUGGGCCACCCUCUUUCUUCUGGCUUCUCCAUUGUGCAAAAUGCUCCUCUGCUCUUCUGCUCAGUGCUCAGGGGUCUCUAAGACCAGGGCAAGGUACCCAGGCCACUAGGGGCUUCCAGUGGGAGUCCACUGACCCCAGGAAUGCCGCCUGUCUGGACCACCUUCUCCACCAAGCAAAUGGGCCUCAUACAAUCUUCUUGCCCGAAUCCUGACCUCCAGGACCCAGGACAAUCCUUGAGGCCACUGUUCCACCAGCUGGGCACCCAAUACUACCAACUCCAAGACUAUUGCACCUGCCCCAUUUGUGCAGGGGAAAGGGGCUGUCUCUUUAACAAGCCCCAAGCCCAUCUCCUGGGCCUCCCCAAGGGAAAGGAGCCUUUGGCCAACCCCUAGACCUGGCUGCUGCCACCCCAUCCCAUUCUACCCCUUCCCCUCUGUAGAAGGGCUUCGUAUGCCAGGGCUACCAGCCUAACAAUGCUCUCCUUCCUAGCACUGUCACCCCAAGCCAAGUUGGGGGUAAGGGGCAGAUAAAUAGGGUGAUUCUUCAGGCCCCUGGCUUUUCCGGGGUGGGGGUGGGGUCUCUGGGGUACAAGAGUCAAGACCCCAGCAGCACAGCUCCCAAAGGCACCAGACGACCCCGCAGCCUGUACCCACCGCUCGCAAUCUUGGACCACCUCCCCAAGCUUAGACUAAGUCAAGCAAGGGCCAUACCCUGAGUCUCCAGCCUCCCAGCCUGGGCCCCUAGGGAGCUGGAGAGGUAUGGGCCAAGGCAGUGGGGGUUUCUGGAAGGAAGAGGGGCUGAGGCUUUGAGAUGGCCACAGUGGGAGACGGGGGCUCUGCAGGACGCCCCUUACACCCUGGCCCCCUGAGGUGAAGAAGAGAACUUCACCUCAUCAUGGCUGACUGGGCUUCUCUGCCCCCCAACCUCCCUACCCCCUCCCCCAUGGGACCCCUGACCCUGACAAAGGGAAGCCCAACUGGAAGAAGGGGGCCUGGAGCCCAGGGUGCCCUGAGGCAGCCCUCCCACCCCCUGAGAUCAAGGCAAUGGUGGUUUUACAGGCUGACGGGUCAGUCAUGGCAGGGGCUGGGGGUUGAGAGGGCAGGGAGGGGGCAGGAUGCAGGCCCCCUAUAUCGGGAGCAGCACCCAGCCACCCCCUGAGCAAACCUUCCUGCUCCCAACUCACCCAACCAGGCCAGAGGCACAGUCAUCCCACCCCUGUCCAGCUGCCCCCCACAGCCUCAGGGCCCCUCUGUGAUGCUCAUCUGGAUGUGGGAGGCCAGCCUGAGCGGGGAUCCCCCCAGGGCACAGCGCAACAGUUCCAAAAAAAUAGAGAUUUGUAUUUUUAAGAAAAAUUAAAUAAAAGCCCAGCUCUGCUGAUAGGCAAAUGUUACCCCCGUCCCCACCCCCACCCACCCGUUGUUUCCCUGGCCUGCACCCCCAUCCCACCAUGGCCCCAGGGGUAUUUACAACAUGGAACAAUAGAGGCCUGGGUUGGGGGGCACUGCGGCAGGGAGGAGGGGGCACAGGGCAGGUCCCCCCCCAGAGGGGUCCCCCAAGACAACACGACAUCAACAAGAAAAGUUGCAAAUCAGGCAGAAAUGGGGACGUCAUUCCAAGGUCCUUAUAUACAGACACUGCAUGACCAGCAGGGAAUGGGGGCCCAGAUGGGACUAGGCGUGGGCAUGUGGCAGGCAGGUGGGCCAGUCCAGGAGCAGCACGGGAAAACAAGGGAAGGAGCCCAGUCAUUGCAGAGGAGCCCUCUUGGGCAUCAGAUGGGGGAAGCCCCAUAAAG